RNAcentral lists this transfer RNA (69 nucleotides) under Salpa fusiformis. RNAcentral describes it as "tRNA-Trp". Lineage: Eukaryota; Metazoa; Chordata; Thaliacea; Salpida; Salpidae. The record is from RNAcentral.
CGUUUUUUAGUACUAAAAAAAUACAUCGAUUUUCAAAAUCGGAGAUAAAAUUGCUCUUUUUAAAAACGU